GCCGGGUUACGGUGCCCA
Molecule: small RNA, 18 nt
Filed under: Arabidopsis thaliana (thale cress)
Lineage: Eukaryota; Viridiplantae; Streptophyta; Magnoliopsida; Brassicales; Brassicaceae
Description: snRNA_03267
Source: RNAcentral